Molecule: transfer RNA, 91 nt
Filed under: Pyrinomonas methylaliphatogenes
Lineage: Bacteria; Pseudomonadati; Acidobacteriota; Blastocatellia; Blastocatellales; Pyrinomonadaceae
Description: tRNA-Ser
Rfam family: tRNA
About the family: Transfer RNA (tRNA) molecules are approximately 80 nucleotides in length. Their secondary structure includes four short double-helical elements and three loops (D, anti-codon, and T loops).
Source: RNAcentral
GGAGAUGUGGCCGAGUGGCUUAAGGCGGCGGUUUGCUAAACCGUUAGGGGUCAAAAGCCCCUCGCAGGUUCGAAUCCUGCCAUCUCCGCCA